UGGCUCAGGACCGGACGCUGGCGGCAGGCCUAACACAUGCAAGUCGAACGGUAACAGGAAGCAGCUUGCUUCUUUGCUGACGAGUGGCGGACGGGUGAGUAAUGUCUGGGAAACUGCCUGAUGGAGGGGGAUAACUACUGGAAACGGUAGCUAAUACCGCAUAACGUCGCAAGACCAAAGAGGGGGACCUUCGGGCCUCUUGCCAUCGGAUGUGCCCAGAUGGGAUUAGCUAGUAGGUGGGGUAACGGCUCACCUAGGCGACGAUCCCUAGCUGGUCUGAGAGGAUGACCAGCCACACUGAACUGAGACACGUCCC
RNAcentral lists this ribosomal RNA (316 nucleotides) under Escherichia coli. RNAcentral's name for it is "bacterial SSU rRNA". It matches the Rfam family "Bacterial small subunit ribosomal RNA", at positions 20 to 332 of the family's 1533-position model. The record is from RNAcentral. Lineage: Bacteria; Pseudomonadati; Pseudomonadota; Gammaproteobacteria; Enterobacterales; Enterobacteriaceae.